AUUGAACGCUGGCGGAAUGCUUUACACAUGCAAGUCGAGCGGCAGCGCGGGGGCAACCCUGGCGGCGAGCGGCGAACGGGUGAGUAAUGCAUCGGAACGUACCCAUUUGUGGGGGAUAACUGUCCGAAAGGACAGCUAAUACCGCAUAAGUCCUUAGGGAGAAAGCGGGGGAUCGCAAGACCCCGCGCGAAUGGAGAGGCCGACGCCGGAUUAGCUAGUUGGUAGGGUAAAGGCCUACCAAGGCGACGAUCCGUAGCUGGUCUGAGAGGAUGAUCAGCCACACUGGAACUGAGACACGGUCCAGACUCCUACGGGAGGCAGCAGUGGGGAAUUUUGGACAAUGGGGGCAACCCUGAUCCAGCCAUUCCGCGUGAGUGAAGAAGGCCUUCGGGUUGUAAAGCUCUUUCGGCAGGAACGAAACGGUCCUGGAUAAUACCUAGGGCUAAUGACGGUACCUGAAGAAGUAGCACCGGCUAACUACGUGCCAGCAGCCGCCGUAA
RNAcentral lists this ribosomal RNA (500 nucleotides) under uncultured bacterium. RNAcentral's name for it is "partial 16S ribosomal RNA". It matches the Rfam family "Bacterial small subunit ribosomal RNA", at positions 29 to 523 of the family's 1533-position model. The record is from RNAcentral.